AAUAAAUUAAUCUUUCACUUUUUACCUAUAAUGUUUGACUCUUCGUCUUAUUUGAAAAAAAUUUGAUUAAUAUUUUUAUUUUUAUUAGAUGAUAAAUCAUGAAUAGUACUUUACGUAUGACUAACUUUUUUUAUAAUUUUUAAAAUUUUUUUAAAUAAAAUGAAUGGAUAAAUGCUGAACACGAAAACUAAAGAAUUGGUUUUCU
This 205-nucleotide microRNA precursor is filed under the name Oryza brachyantha (malo sina). Its description in RNAcentral is "MIR812 microRNA precursor family". It matches the Rfam family "MIR812 microRNA precursor family". The record is from Rfam by way of RNAcentral. Lineage: Eukaryota; Viridiplantae; Streptophyta; Magnoliopsida; Poales; Poaceae.